Long non-coding RNA from Leptinotarsa decemlineata (Colorado potato beetle), 1713 nucleotides. The record is from RefSeq and is a predicted model, not a curated record. Lineage: Eukaryota; Metazoa; Arthropoda; Insecta; Coleoptera; Chrysomelidae.
UUUUUUGACUCCGGGUUUUUAGAUAUUUGUAGACAGAUAAAAGUCUGAAAGAAAGACUGAACAAUAAAAUGUAUGGAUGAUAUCUUCUCUUCAAUGCAAGAUUUUUGCAUUACCGAUACUAACAUUAUUUAAAAGGUGCUCUUAUCCUAACGCACAAAUGCAAUAACUUGGUUGUGAUCAAAGAAAUGGCGGCAGUUAGCGAGUUGAGGGUAUCUUGGUUUAGCUGUUGUUUGCCCCAACCCCAAAAAAGACGUCGUCGAAUAGACAGGUCAAUGAUAGGCAAUCCGACAAAUUUCCAACACACUGGACAUAUAGGUAGUCGGGACGUUGAGAUGCCCGGUGACCAGCUAGUAGCCCUCCAAAAUCAAAUGAGAAGCAAAGGCGGUUAUGAACCCCCUUACAAGGAACCGGAUUGGUGCCAAUAGUUCUAUUAAGUCAGCGUGUCAUAUUGUAGGAGAUUUUAUUAUUUAUUUAUUUUAUCGUAUCAUUUUCCUGAGUUAGUUCCAUCGAACUGUAUAUAAUUGUUAAGAGCAAAUGUUUUGAUAUUUUUUUUAUUGUUUCUAGUAACAAUGAUUUAACAGAUGUUUUAUAGUAUUAUGACCUUUAUUUGGAAUUCAAAAUUCCUUGUUCUUAUUGGCAUGUGCAAUGUUGAAUGUGUGAUUGACAAAAUUUAUCACAAUAUUUAUGUACUAUAAUGCUGCAAUUAGGAUGAGGUGAAAUAAUAUUUUGCUCCAAAGCACUUUUCGUUUCAAUACAUGUGACAUGGUGAAAACUCAUUACAAAAGAUUUCCAAGCAGUUGGUUUACAGUAGUGAUUAUUUUGAUUUGUAUUUUUAUGGCAGAAGACAAUUUCACGAAACUAUUCCGUUUUUAUCAUACAUUGAAGUUGUGGAGUGACUUAGAUAAAUCAGACCAUUCAGUGUGGUCCUUUACGUAAAAGAUAAGAAAACUAUUUCGUUUGUUGAAUGUCGUUCUACAUUUAUUUUAGUUUUGGUUAUUCAGAUAAUCAGAUCUUAAGAAAACGGUAGUAUUUUAUAUCAUGUUGAACACAGGUCAUUAUGACUUCAACUUAUUAUAAGUUUGUGAUUUUGACAGGCUUGGUAUUAACCUAGAAAAAUAUUCACACAAGCUGUAUAAAAAUCUCUCAUUCAAAUUACAAAUCUUCCAGCUUUAUUGCUCAAAAUAAGCAAUAAAUAAUUUUUAUUGAGUACACAAAUAAUCUUAUUCAUUAGGUUCCAGUUUUGUUAAUUCAAAAUUUACAAUUGUUUGAAAUUGGCCCCUUAAAACUCUUUAUCAAGUCGCAAUUUCGUAUACCUCUUUUAAAUAAUUUGUUUAAUUUUUGAAUAGUACUCUGAAGUGAGAGUGUUUUAGUAUUAAUGAAUUUCAUGCCUUUUUUAAUGAAUGUGUGUCAAAAUUGAUUUGGAAAGUAGCUUUAGCAAAAAUAAUGUUUCAUUGCAGUCACAGUUUUACUUCAAUACUCUUACAUUGAAAUGUACAGACUAGUUUAGUUGGUCGUUAGAUUUAAGUCGCAUUUAUAACCAAACCGUGCAUUGAAAAAUGCCUUCAUAUGAUAAUAUUUUUGGAUGAACAGAUUUUGUACCCAAAUCACUAUAUAUUGUUAAGAUUAAAAAGAAAUAGUAGUUUAUUUGAGUUAUAAAUCAAAAUAAAUUAUUUUUACGUUUGAAAAUAUAUAGGUAUAUUACCUACAAACAUA